AAUCCAUGUUGCGGGCACUUUCUCAGGAGCUCUUUGAACCUUUUAGACAUCUCAAAUAGAGACUCCAAUUCUAACUGUACAAAGGACGAGAUCUUAUUCCUAAGUUU
Small nucleolar RNA from Dioscorea cayenensis subsp. rotundata (Guinea yam), 107 nucleotides. NCBI's taxonomy places the organism in Eukaryota, Viridiplantae, Streptophyta, Magnoliopsida, Dioscoreales, Dioscoreaceae. The record is from RefSeq and is a predicted model, not a curated record.